Molecule: ribosomal RNA, 245 nt
Filed under: uncultured bacterium
Lineage: Bacteria
Description: partial 16S ribosomal RNA
Rfam family: Bacterial small subunit ribosomal RNA
Source: RNAcentral
UACGUAGGUGGCGAGCGUUGUCCGGAAUUACUGGGUGUAAAGGGCGUGUAGGUGGGUAUGAAAGUCAGUUGUGAAAUACCGAGGCUUAACCUUGGGGGUGCAACUGGGACUGUAUAUCUUGAGUACUGGAGAGGGAAGCGGAAUUCCUAGUGUAGCGGUGAAAUGCGUAGAUAUUAGGAGGAACACCAGUGGCGAAGGCGGCUUCCUGGACAGAGACUGACACUGAGGCGCGAAAGCGUGGGGAG